GAUGAACGCUGGCGGCGUGCCUAAUACAUGCAAGUCGAGCGAACAGACGAGGAGCUUGCUCCUCUGACGUUAGCGGCGGACGGGUGAGUAACACGUGGAUAACCUACCUAUAAGACUGGGAUAACUUCGGGAAACCGGAGCUAAUACCGGAUAAUAUAUUGAACCGCAUGGUUCAAUAGUGAAAGACGGUUUUGCUGUCACUUAUAGAUGGAUCCGCGCCGCAUUAGCUAGUUGGUAAGGUAACGGCUUACCAAGGCAACGAUGCGUAGCCGACCUGAGAGGGGGGGCGGGCGCAGGGGACAGCGGACACGAGGAGGAGAGCGACGGGAGGCAGAAGUCGGGAAGGUGGCGAAAGGGGCAAAAGCCGUAAGGAGCGAGGAGGAGAGAGUAAUAAAGUGUUAAGGAUCGUAGAAGUCUGUUACGAGGACAAAACAAAGGGGUAAGGAAAGAGGCAGGGCGGGAAGGUAGAUAAGAAGGAACGGAGGGGCGAAUGCGAG
RNAcentral lists this ribosomal RNA (497 nucleotides) under uncultured bacterium. Its description in RNAcentral is "partial 16S ribosomal RNA". The stretch from base 18 to 377 matches the Rfam family "Bacterial small subunit ribosomal RNA", at positions 45 to 394 of the family's 1533-position model. The record is from RNAcentral.